This 1238-nucleotide long non-coding RNA is filed under the name Malus domestica (apple). Its description in RNAcentral is "long non-coding RNA (MDOM_LNC011365)". The record is from RNAcentral. Lineage: Eukaryota; Viridiplantae; Streptophyta; Magnoliopsida; Rosales; Rosaceae.
AAACUUAAAAGAGUGCAAGGUUAAAGAAAAAUGGCAACAACUAAAUCUUUUUAUAUAGUAAUGUCUUCCAUAAUUAAUCAAUACAAACAAAUUACAAUUGUUGCCGGCGAGGUUUCAUGUCAUGAAAACGUCGCAUAAUAGGCUCAUUAUCAAUAAAAGCAAAUACAUCUCUCUCAAUGUAAACAACCAUGCUAUCACUCAACCAUUGAUCUCUCAUUUUGUUACGCAAUGGUGUUUUCACAAUCUUCAUAGCAGAAAAAGCUCUCUCCAUCGAAGCGGUUGCAACCGACAACACCAAAGCCAAUGUAAGAAGCUUAUACACUAACAUAUAGCUUUCACACCUCCCGGUCUUCAUUAACUCUUUUGCAAGAUCACUAAUUCCUCUCAAUGAUGAAAACUCACUAUGCAUCUUCAUAUUAUGAAUGUCGGCGAAUUGCUUCACGAUAAUUAGGUAGAUAAUCAAGCAUUCGACGUCUAUGUCCAGGGUUUACAGGAAGAUUAGCCAGUAUUUCAUCUAACUUAGUGACCUCACUUUGUUGGGAACUACCCGGAAUACUCGAAGAAGGAAUAUUUGGAAUAUUCAAAGGAGGACUACUCGGAAUAUUCGAAGAAGGACUACCCGAAAUAUUUGAAGGAGGAUUUAAGCAUUGUUUCUUAUAGUAUUGUUCCAUUGUUUAACUGUAUAUGGAAAAGAAAAAAAAAGUCUUAGACUCUUAAUUCUAGAGUAAGCUACUAUACUAUAGUCAAUAUGAGUACUAACAAAUUAAACCAACAAUUAAUCAAUACCAAUAUUCAUAUAAAUUAUUUAACACACAAAAAUUCAAUUAAUAAAUUAAUAUCAAUAAUCAAGAAUUCAAUUUUUACUCUAGACAAUAAUUUCAUUCAUCAAUAAUCAUUCAUAGGAUUCAUAUUUAUAUGUAAAAAUAAAAAAUCAAUAACUAUAUUAGUGUAUUACUCUAUGAUUCUAUAUUAAUUAACUAAAAUUUUGUAUUAAUUAAUCAAUUAGGGUUAGGGAUAAAGGGAACUUUAACGAAAAGCACCCGGUACUGUUCACUUUAACGAAAAACCACAUUUUUACACUAAAAAGUCAAUCAUAGUACUAUUCACUUUAUCCUUUAUUUUGUCCUUAUCAUUAAAACUCAAAGUUUUCAAGCCAUUUUCAUUAGUUUUCCUUAAUAUAAAUUAGAAAGUUAAAAAAUUUACCUAAAAUUGAGAGAGAAGUGGAAAACCAACCCAAC